This 515-nucleotide ribosomal RNA is filed under the name uncultured bacterium. RNAcentral's name for it is "bacterial SSU rRNA". It matches the Rfam family "Bacterial small subunit ribosomal RNA", at positions 11 to 518 of the family's 1533-position model. The record is from RNAcentral.
GUUGAUCAUGGCUCAGGAUGAACGCUAGCUACAGGCUAACACAUGCAAGUCGAGGGGCAGCAUGGGAUUAGCUUGCUAAUCCUGAUGGCGACCGGCGCACGGGUGAGUAACGCGUAUCCAACCUUCCCCCUACUCAGGCAUAGCCCGGUGAAAACCGGAUUAACUCCUGAUAGUUUCACUAGAUGGCAUCUGACGGUGAAUAAAGCUCAGCGGUAAGGGAUGGGGAUGCGUCUGAUUAGCUUGUUGGCGGGGUAACGGCCCACCAAGGCGACGAUCAGUAGGGGUUCUGAGAGGAAGGUCCCCCACAUUGGAACUGAGACACGGUCCAAACUCCUACGGGAGGCAGCAGUGAGGAAUAUUGGUCAAUGGGCGCGAGCCUGAACCAGCCAAGUAGCGUGCAGGAAGACGGCCCUAUGGGUUGUAAACUGCUUUUGUGCGGGAAUAAAGUCAGGGACGUGUCCCUGUUUGCAUGUACCGCAAGAAUAAGGACCGGCUAAUUCCGUGCCAGCCGCUGC